UAGCUUGGCAUUUGAAUCGGCUUUGCUGUUGCGAAGUAGAGUGGCGGCUUCGGCUGCCGAAGGGUCGAUCCAUUUGGGAAAUGGUGUGUACUUCGGUAUGCAUCUCAAUUGGACCUGAUAUCAGGCAAGAUUACCCGCUGAACUUAAGCAUAUUAAUAAGCGGAGGAAAAGAAACUAACAAGGAUUCCCCUAGUAACGGCGAGUGAAGCGGGAAGAGCUCAAGCUUAAAAUCUCCGUGCAAGUUUUGCGCGGCGAAUUGUAGUCUAUAGAGGCGUGAUCAGUGUGGGCGCUUGGGGCAAGUUCCUUGGAAGAGGACAGCAUGGAGGGUGAUACUCCCGUUCAUCCCUGAGUUGCUCGUGCGUACGAUCCGUUUUCUUUGAGUCGCGUUGUUUGGGAAUGCAGCGCAAAGUAGGUGGUAAAUUCCAUCUAAAGCUAAAUAUUGGUGCGAGACCGAUAGCGAACAAGUACCGUGAGGGAAAGAUGAAAAGAACUUUGAAAAGAGAGUUAAAGAGUACCUGAAACUGCUGAAAGGGAACCGAAUCGUUUCCAGUGUCUAUAAUCCGUGGUAUAUUUCAUUGGCGAGUGUGUGCGUGCGUGUGCUGUGGCAGCGGCUUUUUUGGCUGCGCUCGGCGUGUGUGCUGUGUGUGCUUGCUGGUGCCCUGUGCUGCGGUGGGACGUCAAGGUCAGUUCGUAUGCUGCGGGAAAUGGCCGCCGAGGAGGUAGGGCUUACGCUUGCGUUUGUCUGUUAUAUCUUGGUGGACGAGUAGUCGCGGUUGGGACUGAGGUGCCUACAACGUGUUUUUGAGUGGGCCUGUGUCUCUGUGUGCGCCGUGUGCGGAUAGCUGCUAUGCG
Ribosomal RNA from Phytophthora infestans T30-4, 852 nucleotides. The record is from RefSeq and is a predicted model, not a curated record. NCBI's taxonomy places the organism in Eukaryota, Oomycota, Peronosporomycetes, Peronosporales, Peronosporaceae.